CUGGAGGCCAGGGCUGAGGGAAGGCCUGGAGCAGAGCCGGUGCGCGACUCCGCAGUGAGCAGGGAGGGCAGGCUGGGGACGUUCACCACCCAGAACGCCUCUGCUCCCCGCAACCCUGAGACUCCAGGCUCCCCUGUUCCUCCCUCCGGGAGACCCUGCCCGUCCUCCCCGCGGGGCUCCUUCGCAGUUCGGGGGAAGGGGCAGGUUGCGUCCUCGGGACCUUUCUCUGCAGCCACAGCAGCGCAUCCCAGCACCUCCUCCAAGAGCCCCGCCACCUCCUGCCACCCGGACUUUCCCCACAGCGCAGCGUCCCCUCGUCCUCUCAGGGCUGGAACAGCGGUACCCGCAGACAGUGCAAAAGGGAAGUCCCUGUUGCCUUCCCAUGCAAACUGUAGGGCGCUUACAGCUGCUGGGAGAGGAAAGGAAAGAAGAAAUACAAGCCUGUGACCCGGAUCCAGCCCGCGGCGCACAGACCCCGGCUCUGGGCACCCCUGGUGAGCGCCUUCUGCGCCAGAGCUCCGUACAGCACCAGCCCGCGCUCUCCCCCAGCUUCUGUUCAUUUGCUGCAGUCCUGACGGGUCAGUUGCCUGAGCAUCCAUGCUGCCAUCCAUACAAACCCAGGCACGCAGAGAUGUACAUCCUUUACCCAGGGUGACACCAUGUGGAGCUGAAUCCAAGUCCGGGAGUCUGAUGACCGUGUCUGGGCUCUCUCUGACCGCGCAGCCGUCUCACAGUGAAACAAAUUGCGGACUGGCCUUAUCCUGAGUGGCCUUAGGAAGCUGCAGUGGCCUGCAGUCUCCUGGCCAGUCUGUAGAAUUUGGCAAAGAUGAGGCACCUUAUAGCCUUACAUGUUCUUAUUUUUCUUUCCUUUUCUCUUCUUUAUUUUCUUUUUUAAGGAUUUGAAUUAGUAUAUGUAAAGUGCUUAAUGCAGGAGCUGGCAGAGAAAGUGGAUACUCAGUAAAUAACAGCAAUUGUUAAUUGUAAAAAGCAUGCCAUUUAUCUGGUAAAAUCCCCCAUUCUAAGCACCCUGUUAAGUAGUUGGUAAUUCCUCACUUGAAAGAAAUUAAAAAGAAUUUUUGUCAGUUUUUUAAAA
Molecule: long non-coding RNA, 1093 nt
Filed under: Pan troglodytes (chimpanzee)
Lineage: Eukaryota; Metazoa; Chordata; Mammalia; Primates; Hominidae
Description: lincRNA
Source: RNAcentral